GCAUUAUAAAAAGGACUUUUGGGGUUAUGUUAAAUUAGCCAAGCCAAAGAGAGGUUGGGGAAUUUAGAGAGAAAACAGAGUUAGGGUUCUUGUGAGAGCUAAGGGGGUUGUUGAUUGUAACGAAAGUUGUUCUUACAUACUAGUGAAUUUCUCUGGUGGCUCACCAAAAAGAUGUAGGCAUGAGGUUGAACACUAUAAAUCUUUUGGUUCUUGUUUGUUUGCUUACUCUCUUCAUGAUGUGUGUGUUUUAUUCUCAAGGAGUUUGUGUAUGAUUGGGUUACGUGGUACAUCAACGACAAAGUCAUGUUAAUGUUUACGCAGUCAUUCCAUUAUAUUGCCUUGCUUGGGUUCAUAAGUAUUUGGUCAAUGCUCAGCCAAAUUUCUCUAUGGGGCUGGUAGACGUGAAUUCUUUUGGAACCUGCUUGAAAUGAUGCUGUCUGUUUCUAAUCAAUGUGUGAUUAGGAAUAGAUCCUUUUCUUACGUGCGAUUGAGAGCAAUUUCCUCCAAUAAUGUUCGGUUUUGCUCGUGUCAUUACAUUACAUUUAGACAAUGACCAAAUGCUUAGCGACCAAAUAUUGCCUAGUAAAGUGAUAAUCGAUUUUAACAUGUUUUAUGUUUAGCUAUAUACAAUUGAUUAAGGGUUAAUGACACAAAGAACUUACAUGGCCAAACUCGAGAUAAGCACGUGGUAGAUGCGUAAAUGUAUAGCUCCAAUUAUUAAUUCCGUGCUCACAAAUCAUUCAUCCGAUAUGGUGCUUUCCCAGUUCUGCAAGAAAAAUUUCAAAUAUCUAUCAUAAA
RNAcentral lists this long non-coding RNA (798 nucleotides) under Prunus dulcis (almond). Its description in RNAcentral is "sRNA ncRNA". The record is from RNAcentral. Lineage: Eukaryota; Viridiplantae; Streptophyta; Magnoliopsida; Rosales; Rosaceae.